GCUUCAAGAAAAUAAUUUCAGGAUCACUCAAAAUAGUCUUUUUAUUACGUUUGUGGCAUGUCAUGACUCUAACUUUAAUAAAACUGUUCAUAUGACUUGUUUUAUAGUAUAUUUUAUGAUAAUUAGUCAGAAGAUAUUUUAAAAAUAUAAAAAAUAAAAAUAAUUUUUAAAAAAUAUAUAAAAAAAUGGGACACCUCUUAGCCUAAAGAAAAUAUUUUC
Molecule: long non-coding RNA, 219 nt
Filed under: Musa acuminata (dwarf banana)
Lineage: Eukaryota; Viridiplantae; Streptophyta; Magnoliopsida; Zingiberales; Musaceae
Description: long non-coding RNA (MACU_LNC011502)
Source: RNAcentral